AUUGAACGCUGGCGGCAGGCCUAACACAUGCAAGUCGAACGGUAACAGGAAGCAGCUUGCUGCUUUGCUGACGAGUGGCGGACGGGUGAGUAAUGUCUGGGAAACUGCCUGAUGGAGGGGGAUAACUACUGGAAACGGUAGCUAAUACCGCAUAACGUCGCAAGACCAAAGAGGGGGACCUUAGGGCCUCUUGCCAUCGGAUGUGCCCAGAUGGGAUUAGCUAGUAGGUGGGGUAACGGCUCACCUAGGCGACGAUCCCUAGCUGGUCUGAGAGGAUGACCAGCCACACUGGAACUGAGACACGGUCCAGACUCCUACGGGAGGCAGCAGUGGGGAAUAUUGCACAAUGGGCGCAAGCCUGAUGCAGCCAUGCCGCGUGUAUGAAGAAGGCCUUCGGGUUGUAAAGUACUUUCAGCGGGGAGGAAGGGAGUAAAGUUAAUACCUUUGCUCAUUGACGUUACCCGCAGAAGAAGCACCGGCUAACUCCGUGC
Molecule: ribosomal RNA, 491 nt
Filed under: uncultured bacterium
Lineage: Bacteria
Description: partial 16S ribosomal RNA
Rfam family: Bacterial small subunit ribosomal RNA
Source: RNAcentral